AAAGGUAUAGCUCAGUGGUAAGAGUGCAUGCCUAGCACACACAGGGUCCUGGGUUCAAUUCCCAGGACCUCCA
This 73-nucleotide transfer RNA is filed under the name Camelus bactrianus (Bactrian camel). It matches the Rfam family "tRNA". Rfam says of the family: Transfer RNA (tRNA) molecules are approximately 80 nucleotides in length. Their secondary structure includes four short double-helical elements and three loops (D, anti-codon, and T loops). RNAcentral also lists the same sequence under 2 other names. The record is from Rfam by way of RNAcentral. Lineage: Eukaryota; Metazoa; Chordata; Mammalia; Artiodactyla; Camelidae.